UGAAGGGGCUUAGUGUUGGGGGAUCCAGGUGUGGGUUGAGAGGGUUCUGUGUGGGGCAAUUUGAGUGCUGGCAACUCAGUGGGGGAUCCAAGUGGGGGCAGGAUCUGGAUGCACAGGAGCUUGUUGGGGGGGUCUGGAGAACGGAA
Chelonoidis abingdonii (Abingdon island giant tortoise) is the source of this 146-nucleotide non-coding RNA. The record is from RefSeq and is a predicted model, not a curated record. NCBI's taxonomy places the organism in Eukaryota, Metazoa, Chordata, Testudines, Testudinidae.